AGGAUGAACGCUAGCGGCAGGCUUAAUACAUGCAAGUCGAGGGGCAGCACGAAUAGCAAUAUUUGGUGGCGACCGGCAAACGGGUGCGGAACACGUACGCAACCUUCCCAAAACAGGUGAAUAGCCCUCCGAAAGGAGGAUUAAUACACCGUAAGAUAACGAGAUGGCAUCAUUUUGUAUUAUAGGCAGCAAUGUCGGUUUUGGAUGGGCGUGCGCCUGAUUAGGUAGUUGGCGGGUAACGCCACCAAGCCUCCGAUCAGUAACUGGUGUGAGAGCACGACCAGUCACGACGGGCACGUGAGACACGGGCCCGACUCCGUACGGGAGCAGCAGUAAGGAUAUUGGUACAAGUGGACGCAAGUCUAGAACCAGCCAUCGCCGCGUGCAGGA
Molecule: ribosomal RNA, 390 nt
Filed under: uncultured soil bacterium
Lineage: Bacteria
Description: bacterial SSU rRNA
Rfam family: Bacterial small subunit ribosomal RNA
Source: RNAcentral